Molecule: long non-coding RNA, 347 nt
Filed under: Cricetulus griseus (Chinese hamster)
Lineage: Eukaryota; Metazoa; Chordata; Mammalia; Rodentia; Cricetidae
Description: lncRNA (ENSCGRG00015032369.1)
Source: RNAcentral
GGGUUCCUCAGAGUUUCACGAGUCCAGGGUUACAGCCACUGACUCAAGCUGGUGGGACCAUUUUAGACUUCUGAGCUCUAGGACUAAUUCACAGAUCCAGUCUGUCAUGGCAGGGAAGACAAGUCCAAGCUGAGCUUGAAACAGCUGCUCGUGUCAACCCCUACUAUGAGGAAGCAGAGACGAACCCUAUUGCUGCUGAGCACAGGCCUGGUUGCUGACCAGGGAAUGCUGCCAUCUACAGUGGGCAGGUCCUCUAAUCUCAGUGAACGAAGUCAAGACAACCCUCCCUCCCCAGGAGUGGCCAAAGGCUCAUCUCCCAGGAAGAACAGGCGGGGCUACCAGACGAG